This 253-nucleotide ribosomal RNA is filed under the name uncultured bacterium. Its description in RNAcentral is "partial 16S ribosomal RNA". It matches the Rfam family "Bacterial small subunit ribosomal RNA", at positions 524 to 776 of the family's 1533-position model. The record is from RNAcentral.
UACAGAGGGUGCGAGCGUUAAUCGGAAUUACUGGGCGUAAAGGGCGCGUAGGCGGCCUCUUAAGUCGAACGUGAAAUCCCCGGGCUCAACCCGGGAACUGCGUCCGAUACUGGGAGGCUUGAAUCCGGGAGAGGGAUGUGGAAUUCCAGGUGUAGCGGUGAAAUGCGUAGAUAUCUGGAGGAACACCGGUGGCGAAGGCGGCAUCCUGGACCGGUAUUGACGCUGAGGCGCGAAAGCCAGGGGAGCAAACGGG